Long non-coding RNA from Silurus meridionalis, 917 nucleotides. RefSeq lists it as uncharacterized. The record is from RefSeq and is a predicted model, not a curated record. The transcript has 2 exons. NCBI's taxonomy places the organism in Eukaryota, Metazoa, Chordata, Actinopteri, Siluriformes, Siluridae.
GUUUUUAUGGAGCAGAAUAAAUAAAAUUUAUUUCAAGCCCCGCAAACUACUGCACUGAUUGAUUUAAGGGCCGGAGAACAAACUCAAUAAACUCACAAGAAAGAAAGAUGGAGAUGGACGAGACAGAGGCCAGUGAUGCAGAUCCAGCUGAAGCGAAAUGCUUUAUUUUGCAGUGUAAGCUGCAGCCCCAGGUGAUUGAACUGGCAGCUUUUAAAAACUCGACACUAAACCUGCUCAAGCAUAUUGAGUUGUGGGCAGAGCAACACAACUCCUACGAGCAGCAGUUGUGCUACCAAGACAAUGGACUCUAAUGGACAAAUGAUGUGAUAGAUAUGAAUUAACUCUGAGAAUUAAACGACUGCUGCUUGCCAACAAGUAGAGAUGCAGGAGUAAUGAAGAUGUGGUGGUGUAUGUAAAUGCACACAGUUUCAUUUUUUUUUUUUUUAUCUUUCAGUAAUUUUUUUUUUAAAGACUGUCUCUCAAGAUAAAAAUUUUUUUUAUCAUAUUAUAAAUCUGUCUAAAUAAUUUUGUAGUGUUUUGCAGUGGUAAGAGGUGAAAAUGUCCAGAAGCAUAAAAAUCGCACCCAAACCAAAGAUGUCAGCAAAAUGUCACAGCAUCACCAAGCCCCUCUUUAUUCCUUUCAUUUUUACUGUACCUGUAUGUUUGCAUAAGAAAACAAAAUCUGAUGAUUUUUAUGCUUCUGGACAUUUUCACCUCUUGCCAUCAUCUUGUGAUAAAGUGAGUUAAGGUCAGGAUUAUAAUGAAUUUGCUCUUUAGAUGAACAUUCUAUACAAUAUUAAUUUUAUUCUCUAAAUACAGGUUAUUUGUUAAAUGUAGAUUUUAAACUUGGCUGUCUAACCAAACUCAUCAAGAGAUCUAAGUCUGUAGAUAAAUGUAAAAAAAAAAAAAAAAAAAUA